Fukomys damarensis (Damara mole-rat) is the source of this 129-nucleotide small nuclear RNA. Its record names the gene U4. It matches the Rfam family "U4 spliceosomal RNA". From Rfam's summary of the family: U4 small nuclear RNA (U4 snRNA) is a component of the major U2-dependent spliceosome. Lineage: Eukaryota; Metazoa; Chordata; Mammalia; Rodentia; Bathyergidae. The record is from Ensembl.
AGCUUUGUGCAGUGGCAGUAUCGUAGCCAAUGAGGAUUAUCUGAGGCGUGAUUAUUGCUAAUUAAAAAUAAAGAUGAUCAACAACACUGAUACACCUUUUUUUUUUUUUUUGGUACGGGGAUCCAACUC